RNAcentral lists this ribosomal RNA (250 nucleotides) under uncultured bacterium. Its description in RNAcentral is "partial 16S ribosomal RNA". It matches the Rfam family "Bacterial small subunit ribosomal RNA", at positions 524 to 773 of the family's 1533-position model. The record is from RNAcentral.
UACGGAGGGUGCAAGCAUUAAUCGGAUUUAUUGGGCGUAAAGGGCGCGUAGGCGGAGAUAAAAGUCAGAUGUGAAAUCCCGAGGCUCAACCUCGGAACUGCAUUUGAAACUUUAUCCCUAGAGGGUAGGCGGAGAAAACGGAAUUCCACAAGUAGCGGUGAAAUGCGUAGAUAUGUGGAAGAACACCGGUGGCGAAGGCGGUUUUCUAGCUUAUUCCUGACGCUAAAGCGCGAAAGCAAGGGGAUCAAAC